UAAGUAAGACAGACAAUCGCGGCUGCGGGAGCUGAAAAGCUGCAGACGAGGAAAGUCCGGGCUUCACAGGGCAGGAUGCCGGAUAACGUCCGGUGGAGGUGACUCCAAGGCCAGUGCAACAGAAAUAAACCGCCGGGGAAACCCGGUAAGGGUGGAAAGGCAGUGUAAGAGACUACCGCCACGCUUUAGGUAGGUCGCUCGAGCCUGGUGGCGACAUCAGGCCUAGAUAGAUGAUUGUCCAACGACAUAACCCGGCUUAUCGUCUUGCUUAACCA
RNAcentral lists this RNase P RNA (275 nucleotides) under Clostridium sp. RNAcentral's name for it is "RNase P RNA component class A". It matches the Rfam family "Bacterial RNase P class A". Rfam says of the family: Ribonuclease P (RNase P) is a ubiquitous endoribonuclease, found in archaea, bacteria and eukarya as well as chloroplasts and mitochondria. Its best characterised activity is the generation of mature 5'-ends of tRNAs by cleaving the 5'-leader elements of precursor-tRNAs. Lineage: Bacteria; Bacillati; Bacillota; Clostridia; Eubacteriales; Clostridiaceae. The record is from RNAcentral.